Molecule: non-coding RNA, 24 nt
Filed under: Arabidopsis thaliana (thale cress)
Lineage: Eukaryota; Viridiplantae; Streptophyta; Magnoliopsida; Brassicales; Brassicaceae
Source: RNAcentral
UCGGUGAUUUGUUAUUGUGGACGU